RNAcentral lists this ribosomal RNA (863 nucleotides) under uncultured bacterium. RNAcentral describes it as "bacterial SSU rRNA". It matches the Rfam family "Bacterial small subunit ribosomal RNA", at positions 1 to 863 of the family's 1533-position model. The record is from RNAcentral.
AUUUUUUUAAAUUUUGGGAUAGAGUCAAAUUUGACGGUGGGCCCAGCCCUUACAAAUGCAAGUGGAGCGGGGGAAGGUAUCUUCUUUCGGGGCCGAGCGGCGGACGGGUGAGUAAUACAUAGGAAUCUGCCUAUUAGUGGGGGACAACAUAUGGAAAGGGAUGCUAAUACCGCAUACGUCCUACGGGAGAAAGCAGGGGAUCUUAAGACCUCGCGCUAAUAGAUGAGCCUAAGUCGGAUUAGCUAGUUGGUGGGGUAAAGGCCCACCAAGGCGACGAUCUGUAGCGGGUCUGAGAGGAUGAUCAGCCACACUGGGACUGAGACACGGUCCAGACUCCUACGGGAGGCAGCAGUGGGGAAUAUUGGACAAUGGGGGSAACCCUGAUCCAGCCAUACCGCGUGGGUGAAGAAGGCCUUAUGGUUGUAAAGCCCUUUUGUUGGGGAAGAGAUCCCUUUAGUUAAUACUUGGAGAUGAUGGCGGUUCCCAAAAAAAUAACCCCGGGUUAAUUCGGUCCCACCACCCCGGGUAAUCCAAGGGGUCCAACGUUUAUUGGAAUUUCUUGGGGGUAAACGGUGGUUGGUGGUGGUUUUAAUUUGGAUGAAAAUCCCGGGCUCAACCUGGGAAAUUCCGUUGAUUCUGGGUCAGUAGAGGUUGGGGAGAGGAUGGUAGAUUUCCAGGUAACAGUUGAAAUCGUAGGAUCAGAAGGGACAUCCGAUGCGAAAGGCACAUCAUCUGGCAUAAUCUUGCCGUGAAGGUCGAAAACGUGGGGGAGCAACAGGGAAGAUUCCCUGGGUAGUCCACCCGUAACGAUGCUAUCYUGACCGGGGGGCCCUGAGCACCCAGUAUCGCAGCUAACGCGAUAA